Molecule: non-coding RNA, 3478 nt
Organism: Triticum urartu
Lineage: Eukaryota; Viridiplantae; Streptophyta; Magnoliopsida; Poales; Poaceae
Source: RefSeq, a predicted model, not a curated record
CCGCACCCCGCACCGCGCAUCCGGCAGCCAAUCCAUCCUCGCCUCGUCCCACUCCCGCACCAGCCACCACCCAAACCCUAGCCCCCUUUCCCCUCGAUCCCCACAGCCUCUCCCGCCUCCUCCAUCCCUCCUCCUUGCCUCGCCACGGCCUCCCCCAGGAGCCUCGCCGCCCCUGUGAGCUCGGUGGCGGGAUGAAUGGACAGGGGAGGUGGGCGAUGAGGGCUACUCCAUCCACCAGAUCCGCGCCGCCCCUGCCCAAAUCUUCUCCGCGUGCGCCGCACCCAAUCCCGUCCUCGCUCGUCUUGUCCCACGGCCAGCUCCCCAUCCUCCUGCGGUUCCCCUCCCUUUCUUCCUUGUCCUCCCUUACGACACGCCGUCUGUCUCCAUCCCACGUCCUCGCGGCCGCCACAGCCUCUCCAGGAGGCUCGCCCUUCGUGCUGCAAACAGCAGGCACGGAUCUGCAGGAGGAAGAGGAGAUCCCGGGGUCCAGGCGGUGGCUCGGUCGAUGCGAGGUGAUGGCGAGCCGAUGAGUGUGGGCGGUCAAGACUACGGUCGCAGCUUUGGUGGUUGCGCACAUGUCAGCGAUUGCAUCUGAUGUCACACACCGAGGUUCAAACAGGAGAAGAAGUACUAUCUUGCCUGCCUGAAAUUAAUAGGAGCUCAGCCUGAAUGUCGGAUGUUCUUGAAGAAAUACCUGGAAUGUAGGAUGGAGAGAUUGCAGUUGCAGAGAGUAUGGUCAUAAAAGUUUUGAAGAAAUUUGUGAAGGUUGUCAUUAAGAUCUUUUAAGAGAGAUAUCUCCUUGUACCAAAUGAAGCGGACGCUACAGGGCUUCUGCAGAUGGGUGCAUCAAAUGGCUUCCCUGGUAUUUGUGGAAGCAUAAAAUCGACAUCAUGGCUGCCGGCGGCAGAAUGAUGGAGAAGGAGCGGGAGAAGCAGGAGCUGCUCGGCCGCGCUAGCGCCGGUGAGAUCUUCCAGCGUGCGCCGACGGACAAGCCGGCAUUCACGCUGGCCCAGAUCAAGAAGGCAAUCCCGCCUCACGCUUCCAGUGCUCGGUGAUCAGGUCCUUCUCCUAUGUGGUCUAUGACCUUGUCAUCAUCGCGUCCCUCCUGUACGCCGCGUUGGUCUGGAUCCCAGCACUCCCGAGCAUGCAACAGCUGGGCGCCUGUCCGCUCUACUGGGUCGUGCAGGGCUGCGUCAUGAACGACAUCUGGGUGAUCGCCCACGAGUGCGGCCACCACGCCUUCUCCGACUACUUGCUGCUCGACAACAUGGUCAGAAGCUCAUUAUCGUCUUGUCUAGCAUUGCUAUUAUUCUGAACCUGGUAUGGCCUCAAAAUAAACUGAAAUAGGGGAGUUGUUGGUCAAACAAAUAAUUCUGCAUGUUUGGACACUCAGUUUUCUGCACUUUAGUCAUCUGUAUGGGUUGGGUUCAUGAAUAAUCAGUGGCUGGCAUCAUUUUAUAUUUGCACCGUUUGAGUGCCGAUUACAGUAGGUCUACAUUUUUUAAUCAAAGUGUUUUUAUGUUACUUUGUUCUUCCAGUUUUCUGUCAGUAGUUUGUUCAAUUCGUACGCUUGGGAUUUGUUUGAUUGACGUACCUUAAAGCUGAUGCAAUAAUGCAUGAACUAUAUUCUGCCCUUUUUAUGCCCAAGGUAUAGUUCUCAAAUUUUGAUGCUAUAAACAUGACUACAUGAGGGAGAGUAGAGAAUAUGACAAAGUUAGAUGAGAUUUGUAGUGAAAAGCUUUCUUUCUUUUGUUUACCUACAUAUCUUGAUUGCAUGAUUGAUUCUUUUGCUGGAUGUUAGGAAGCUUGAAAGUUCGGUUUUCUGAUGGUGAGUUUAUGUGUGGUUUCAGGGUUACAGAUGCCACAAGGCUUGCAUAACAAGGGUGGAUUCCCUGAAAGGGGAGGCUUGCCAACCAAAAGGUGGUUCUUUCUUCUGUUAAUUGUUUCGAUCCUCUUUUUUUAUUUAUGCAAAAAGGAAUGCUAUUGCUUAUGUUCUCUGAUGAACUGCACCUUGAAUUCUUGAUUUUGCAAUUCACUGAAGAAUCGUCCAUCACAAACUCUGUUCAUUGAGAACUUUACCUGGAUAUGCUAAAGCUUGCACACUGACAUUUGUUGUUCAGUUAGCGCUGGAGUUGUGCAACUCCCAUGUAGUUUUCUAAUGUGUCAACAAACUGAAAAUUGUUGAUCCUUCUCACUACAGAUCGUGUCAUGAGCUCGGAGACAUUAAGGCACUGUUAGUUAGAUGUUCUAAUAUUAUCACGAUCUUCCUUUUUUGUUUAGCCUAGCAAAGGUAAAAUUGUUUCUUCUUUUCAAAAUGUAAAUUUUGUUGUCUGAAGCUCGUUUGGAACACUAUGUUAUGAAUUUACUCUCAGUUCACAGGUUGUUGAUUAUCUAUAGCCUACUCUGCUACGCAGUGAUCCAACCAUUUUUUCUUCUCUUGCUGCCCUGGUUGUGCUUCUUCCUUCUGGUAAUGCACUGCUCCUUAGCUUCUUUCUUUGUAUUUCUUAUGAGUGUUGCGUUUUGCGUAUGCUGCUCCCCCUGUGUGCAUAUACCAUGGGCUGUUCCCUUGUGUGCUGAUGAUGGAUUAGCUUACAAUCAGAUUCGUGUAAUGGAGCUAAAAAUAUAUUGGCUGGUUGUAUCUCUUAGUUUGGCAGAAAGCAUAGCAUAUCAAAUUGAUCGGUGACCAUCUUCCUCAGUUUCUGCAUAUUUAUUAUUGGGAAGAGAACCAGGCUACUCAUCGAUUAAUAAAAACUUUAUAGCUCUAUUCUCCUUCAAAUCAUUUCUUUAGUAUUAUUCUCUUAGAUUAAAGGUAUUAUUGUGAUGUUGUCCUGUUGUUCUGUAUGUAUUGGAUGGCCAUUCAGACAUGUUUUAAUGCGCUGAUAGAUAGAUGUGCUUUAUGUUUGCAUAGUUGUUCCUGUGUUCUUGCCUUUUUGUCUGUGUUUGUUUUGCAGGUUAGACGAAAUGCUCUGUUCCUAGACCUGCAUCUCGUUUCUGCUCCUCAAGAGCUGGUGUCCACGCCUUCAUCAUAGCUGGUGUCCACAUGUUCAUCAGAGAUCGUGUCCACGGCUUCAGCGGAGCUGCUGUCCACACUUUCAUCAGAGCUAAUGUUCACGGGAUCAUCCAUGCGAGCACUAGCGGUGCUACGUGUUACAAAAAGAGGCCACGGCGUCCCGCCGGUAGCAAAUGAAGUGGAGGAUUGAGAGUAGGCUGAGCUGUGAGAGAAAAAUAGUGGAUUCCUUUGUACUGGCACGCCCACCUUUGACAGUGUAGCUCCACCACUGCAUGCGAGCUCCCCUCAUGCUCAGCCGUGGUGGAAGCCUAAAACAACAUAGAUUAUCAAUCAACACAGACUAAUCAAGUCACAUUACUGUGACGAUGUGUAAAUCUGCCAGAGGUUUUGAAUGGGACUUCACACCACCAAAUUAGAAUGUGUACAAGACACCAUUUUUUCGACUAAAGGAGAUUAUGUUUAUUAUAA